AAAAUAAUGCUGGGGUACGAUGCGGAGCGAAAUUUAGUAGCGAAGUAGCUGAUUUCACACUGUCGAGAAAAGUCUCUAUCGAGGUUAAAGGUGCCUGUACCGCAAACCGACACAGGUGGGUGAGGAGAGUAUCCUAAGGCCAGCGAGAGAACUGUUGUUAAGGAACACGGCAAAAUGACCCCGUAACUUCGGGAGAAGGGGUGCCUUCGAAAGAAGGCCGCAGAGAAUAGGCCCAAGCGACUGUUUACCAAAAACAUAGGUUUCUGCUAAGUCGCAAGACGAUGUAUAGGAGCUGACGCCUGCCCGGUGCUGGAAGGUUAAGGGGAUCUGUUAGAGCAAUCGAAGCAGUGAACUUAAGCCCCAGUAAACGGCGGCCGUAACAAUAACGGUCCUAAGGUAGCGAAAUUCCUUGUCGGGUAAGUUCCGACCCGCACGAAAGGCGUAACGAUUUGGGCACUGUCUCAACAACAGACUCGGUGAAAUUGUAAUACCGGUGAAGAUGCCGGUUACCUGCGACAGGACGGAAAGACCCCAUGGAGCUUUACUGUAGCUUGACAUUGAGUCUCGGUGCUACAUGUACAGGAUAGGUGGGAGACUAUGAAGCAUGGACGUCAGUCUGUGUGGAGUCAUCCUUGGGAUACCACCCUUGUAGUACUGGGAUUCUAACCAGAGGCCAUGAAUCUGGUCUUGGGACACUGUCAGGUGGACAGUUUGACUGGGGCGGUCGCCUCCCAAAAAGUAACGGAGGCGCUCAAAGGUUCUCUCAGUACGGUCGGAAAUCGUACGAAGAGUGUAAAGGCAAAAGAGAGCUUGAUUGCAAGACAUACAGGUCGAGCAAGGACGAAAGUCGGACUUAGUGAUCCGGUGGUUCCGCAUGGAAGGGCCAUCGCUCAACGGAUAAAAGCUACCCUGGGGAUAACAGGCUGAUCUCCCCCAAGAGUCCACAUCGACGGGGAGGUUUGGCACCUCGAUGUCGGCUCAUCACAUCCUGGGGCUGUAGUAGGUCCCAAGGUUGGGCUGUUCGCCCAUUAAAGUGGUACGCGAGCUGGGUUCAGAACGUCGUGAGACAGUUCGGUCCCUAUCCGUCGCAGGCGUAGGAAAUUUGAGGAGACCUGUCCUUAGUACGAGAGGACCGGGAUGGACGUACCGCUGGUGUACCAGUUGUUCUGCCAAGGGCAUGGCUGGGUAGCUAAGUACGGAAAGGAUAAGCGCUGAAAGCAUCUAAGCGCGAAGCCCACUUCAAGAUAAGAUUUCCCACCGCAAGGUUAAGAUCCCAGGAAGACUACCUGGUUGAUAGGUCAGAGGUGUAAGUGCAGUAAUGUAUUUAGCUUACUGAUACUAAUAGAUCGAGGACCUGACUA
This 1361-nucleotide ribosomal RNA is filed under the name metagenome. RNAcentral's name for it is "bacterial LSU rRNA". It matches the Rfam family "Bacterial large subunit ribosomal RNA", at positions 1547 to 2925 of the family's 2925-position model. The record is from RNAcentral.